CAAACGGUUCUUCUCAGAACCAACGAAAAUGCUUCCUAGAGACUUA
Non-coding RNA from Aedes albopictus (Asian tiger mosquito), 46 nucleotides. Lineage: Eukaryota; Metazoa; Arthropoda; Insecta; Diptera; Culicidae. The record is from Rfam.